CAAUAGCGUAUAUUAAAGUUGUUGCGGUUAAAAAGCUCGUAGUUGGAUUUCUGCCGAGGACGACCGGUCCGCCCUCUGGGUGAGUAUCUGGCUCGGCCUGGGCAUCUUCUUGGAGAACGUAGCUGCACUUGACUGUGUGGUGCGGUAUCCAGGACUUUUACUUUGAGGAAAUUAGAGUGUUUCAAGCAGGCUUACGCCUUGAAUACAUUAGCAUGGAAUAAUAAGAUAGGACCUCGGUUCUAUUUUGUUGGUUUCUAGAGCUGAGGUAAUGAUUAAUAGGGAUAGUUGGGGGCAUUCGUAUUUAACUGUCAGAGGUGAAAUUCUUGGAUUUAUGAAAGACGAACUUCUGCGAAAGCAUUUGCCAAGGAUGUUUUCAUUA
This 379-nucleotide ribosomal RNA is filed under the name uncultured eukaryote. RNAcentral describes it as "partial 18S ribosomal RNA". It matches the Rfam family "Eukaryotic small subunit ribosomal RNA", at positions 592 to 975 of the family's 1831-position model. The record is from RNAcentral.